AUUGAACGCUGGCGGCAGGCCUAACACAUGCAAGUCGAACGGUAACAGGAAGCAGCUUGCUGCUUCGCUGACGAGUGGCGGACGGGUGAGUAAUGUCUGGGAAACUGCCUGAUGGAGGGGGAUAACUACUGGAAACGGUAGCUAAUACCGCAUAACGUCGCAAGACCAAAGAGGGGGACCUUAGGGCCCCUUGCCAUCGGAUGUGCCCAGAUGGGAUUAGCUAGUAGGUGGGGUAACGGCUCACCUAGGCGACGAUCCCUAGCUGGUCUGAGAGGAUGACCAGCCACACUGGAACUGAGACACGGUCCAGACUCCUACGGGAGGCAGCAGUGGGGAAUAUUGCACAAUGGGCGCAAGCCUGAUGCAGCCAUGCCGCGUGUAUGAAGAAGGCCUUCGGGUUGUAAAGUACUUUCAGCGGGGAGGAAGGGAGUAAAGUUAAUACCUUUGCUCAUUGACGUUACCCGCAGAGGAAGCACCGGCUAACUCCGUG
Molecule: ribosomal RNA, 490 nt
Filed under: uncultured bacterium
Lineage: Bacteria
Description: partial 16S ribosomal RNA
Rfam family: Bacterial small subunit ribosomal RNA
Source: RNAcentral